This 491-nucleotide ribosomal RNA is filed under the name uncultured Exiguobacterium sp. RNAcentral describes it as "bacterial SSU rRNA". It matches the Rfam family "Bacterial small subunit ribosomal RNA", at positions 958 to 1448 of the family's 1533-position model. The record is from RNAcentral. Lineage: Bacteria; Bacillati; Bacillota; Bacilli; Caryophanales.
AACGCGAAGAACCUUACCAACUCUUGACAUCCCAUUGACCGCUUGAGAGAUCAAGUUUUCCCUUCGGGGACAAUGGUGACAGGUGGUGCAUGGUUGUCGUCAGCUCGUGUCGUGAGAUGUUGGGUUAAGUCCCGCAACGAGCGCAACCCCUAUCCUUAGUUGCCAGCAUUCAGUUGGGCACUCUAGGGAGACUGCCGGUGACAAACCGGAGGAAGGUGGGGAUGACGUCAAAUCAUCAUGCCCCUUAUGAGUUGGGCUACACACGUGCUACAAUGGACGGUACAAAGGGCAGCGAGACCGCGAGGUGGAGCCAAUCCCAUAAAGCCGUUCCCAGUUCGGAUUGCAGGCUGCAACUCGCCUGCAUGAAGUCGGAAUCGCUAGUAAUCGCAGGUCAGCAUACUGCGGUGAAUACGUUCCCGGGUCUUGUACACACCGCCCGUCACACCACGAGAGUUUGCAACACCCGAAGCCGGUGAGUAACCANCAAGGAG